Molecule: ribosomal RNA, 468 nt
Filed under: uncultured bacterium
Lineage: Bacteria
Description: partial 16S ribosomal RNA
Rfam family: Bacterial small subunit ribosomal RNA
Source: RNAcentral
GACGAACGCUGGCGGCGUGCUUAACACAUGCAAGUCGAACGGAAAGGCCCUGCUUUUGUGGGGUGCUCGAGUGGCGAACGGGUGAGUAACACGUGAGUAACCUGCCCUUGACUUUGGGAUAACUUCAGGAAACUGGGGCUAAUACCGGAUAGGAGCUCCUGCUGCAUGGUGGGGGUUGGAAAGUUUCGGCGGUUGGGGAUGGACUCGCGGCUUAUCAGCUUGUUGGUGGGGUAGUGGCUUACCAAGGCUUUGACGGGUAGCCGGCCUGAGAGGGUGACCGGCCACAUUGGGACUGAGAUACGGCCCAGACUCCUACGGGAGGCAGCAGUGGGGAAUAUUGCAGAAUGGGCGGAAGCCUGAUGCAGCAACGCCGCGUGCGGGAUGACGGCCUUCGGGUUGUAAACCGCUGUCGCCUGUGACGAAGCGGGAGUGACGGUAAUGGGUAAAGAAGCACCGGCUAACUACGUG